This 492-nucleotide ribosomal RNA is filed under the name uncultured bacterium. RNAcentral's name for it is "partial 16S ribosomal RNA". It matches the Rfam family "Bacterial small subunit ribosomal RNA", at positions 29 to 507 of the family's 1533-position model. The record is from RNAcentral.
AGUGAACGCUGGCGGUAGGCCUAACACAUGCAAGUCGAACGGCAGCACAGUAAGAGCUUGCUCUUACGGGUGGCGAGUGGCGGACGGGUGAGGAAUACAUCGGAAUCUACUUUUUCGUGGGGGAUAACGUAGGGAAACUUACGCUAAUACCGCAUACGACCUACCGGUGAAAGCAGGGGAUCUUCGGACCUUUCGCGAUUGAAUGAGCCGAUGUCGGAUUAGCUAGUUGGCGGGGUAAAGGCCCACCAAGGCGACGAUCCGUAGCUGGUCUGAGAGGAUGAUCAGCCACACUGGAACUGAGACACGGUCCAGACUCCUACGGGAGGCAGCAGUGGGGAAUAUUGGACAAUGGGCGCAAGCCUGAUCCAGCCAUACCGCGUGGGUGAAGAAGGCCUUCGGGUUGUAAAGCCCUUUUGUUGGGAAAGAAAAGCAGCAGGUUAAUACCCCGCUGUUCUGACGGUACCCAAAGAAUAAGCACCGGCUAACUUCGUG